RNAcentral lists this ribosomal RNA (478 nucleotides) under uncultured bacterium. RNAcentral's name for it is "partial 16S ribosomal RNA". It matches the Rfam family "Bacterial small subunit ribosomal RNA", at positions 28 to 507 of the family's 1533-position model. The record is from RNAcentral.
GACGAACGCUGGCGGCGUGCUUAACACAUGCAAGUCGAACGGGAUUUAGUAAACGGAAGCCUCGGUGGAAGAUUACUAAUGGGAGUGGCGAACGGGUGAGUAACGCGUGAGCAACCUGCCUAUGACAGUGGGAUAGCCUCGGGAAACCGGGAUUAAUACCGCAUAAAAUCGUAGAAACACAUGUUUCAACGGUCAAAGAUUUAUCGGUCAUAGAUGGGCUCGCGUCUGAUUAGCUAGUUGGUGAGAUAACAGCCCACCAAGGCGACGAUGAGUAGCCGGUCUGAGAGGAUGAACGGCCACAUUGGAACUGAGACACGGUCCAAACUCCUACGGGAGGCAGCAGUGGGGAAUAUUGCACAAUGGGGGAAACCCUGAUGCAGCGACGCCGCGUGAACGAAGAAGGUAUUCGUAUCGUAAAGUUCUGUCCUAUGGGAAGAUAAUGACAGUACCAUAGAAGAAAGCUCCGGCUAAAUACGUG